AGUGAACGCUGGCGGUAGGCCUAACACAUGCAAGUCGAACGGCAGCACAGUAAGAGCUUGCUCUUACGGGUGGCGGGUGGCGGACGGGUGAGGAAUACAUCGGAAUCUACUUUUUCGUGGGGGAUAACGUAGGGAAACUUACGCUAAUACCGCAUACGACCUACGGGUGAAAGCAUGGGAUCUUCGGACCUUGCGCGAUUGAAUGAGCCGAUGUGGGAUUAGCUAGUUGGCGGGGUAAAGGCCCACCAAGGCGACGAUCCGUAGCUGGUCUGAGAGGAUGAUCAGCCGCACUGGAGCUGAGACACGGUCCAGACUCCUACGGGAGGCAGCAGUGGGGAAUAUUGGACAAUGGGCGCAAGCCUGGUCCAGCCAUACCGCGUGGGUGAAGAAGGCCUUCGGGUUGUAAAGCCCUUUUGUUGGGAGAGAAAAGCAGCAGGUUAAUACCCCGCUGUUCUGACGGUACCCAAAGAAUAAGCACCGGCUAACUUCGUG
RNAcentral lists this ribosomal RNA (492 nucleotides) under uncultured bacterium. RNAcentral's name for it is "partial 16S ribosomal RNA". It matches the Rfam family "Bacterial small subunit ribosomal RNA", at positions 29 to 507 of the family's 1533-position model. The record is from RNAcentral.